AUGGACGGUGGAAAUUGAAUAAUCUUUAAAAUUUGAGCAUAGGACUUUUAAAUUCAAGAUCAAGAAUAUUAAUCUUAAUCUAGAUAGUUUAAAGUAUUUCUAUCAAAAUUUGAAGAAAUUUAGAUUCUUCUACACUGUUAAACUCCAAACUCGCGAUAGUAGCCAUUGAAAAUUGACAAUUUUGAAAUGGUCUGAUCAUAAAGUUAACUAUGUCGAAAAAAUAUAAAAUUUUAUUUGUAAAAACUUUAAAUACCCUAGAUCAGUUUUAACGGUGUGGAUCGUUGAUUUGAACACUCUAAGAUUGAAAACGAGACUAUAGUACCGGAGCCCCGGUACUAUAGAUAGUAUAGGAGACUAGCUCUCUCUCUCUCUCUCUCUCUCUCUCUCUCUCUCUUUAUAUAUAUAUAUAUAUAUACUAAAUUCAAUUUUAAAUUAAAAUUUCAAUUUCAAAUUCUCAGGUAUU
RNAcentral lists this long non-coding RNA (463 nucleotides) under Ananas comosus (pineapple). RNAcentral's name for it is "long non-coding RNA (ACOM_LNC026849)". The record is from RNAcentral. Lineage: Eukaryota; Viridiplantae; Streptophyta; Magnoliopsida; Poales; Bromeliaceae.